RNAcentral lists this ribosomal RNA (253 nucleotides) under uncultured bacterium. RNAcentral's name for it is "partial 16S ribosomal RNA". It matches the Rfam family "Bacterial small subunit ribosomal RNA", at positions 524 to 776 of the family's 1533-position model. The record is from RNAcentral.
UACAGAGGUCUCAAGCGUUGUUCGGAUUCAUUGGGCGUAAAGGGUGCGUAGGUGGCGCUGUAAGUCGGGUGUGAAAUUUCGGAGCUUAACUCCGAAACUGCAUUCGAUACUGCGGUGCUUGAGGACUGGAGAGGAGACUGGAAUUCAUGGUGUAGCAGUGAAAUGCGUAGAUAUCGUAAGGAAGACCAGUGGCGAAGGCGAGUCUCUGGACAGUUACUGACGCUGAGGCACGAAGGCCAGGGGAGCAAACGGG